AAUGUAUAGGUAAUAUGCCUCUUACGUAAGGGAUAACAAAUGGUAAACGUUUGCUAAUACCUUAUACUCCUUAUUAACAGAAGUUAAUAAGGGAAAGAUUUAUUGGUAAGAGAUUAGCCUGUAUUGUAUCAGUUAGUUGGUGGGGUAAUGGCUUACCAAGACUAUGACACAUAACUGGUUUGAGAGGAUGAUCAGUCACACUGGAACUGAGACACGGUCCAGACUCCUACGGGAGGCAGCAGGUGGGGAAUAUUGCACAAUGGACGAAAGUCUGAUGCAGCAACGCCGCGUGGAGGAUGACACAUUUCGGUGCGUAAACUCCUUUUAUAUGAGAAGAUAAUGACGGUAUUAUAUGAAUAAGCACCGGCUAACUCCGUG
This 378-nucleotide ribosomal RNA is filed under the name uncultured bacterium. RNAcentral's name for it is "bacterial SSU rRNA". It matches the Rfam family "Bacterial small subunit ribosomal RNA", at positions 112 to 507 of the family's 1533-position model. The record is from RNAcentral.